Molecule: long non-coding RNA, 1213 nt
Filed under: Homo sapiens (human)
Lineage: Eukaryota; Metazoa; Chordata; Mammalia; Primates; Hominidae
Description: PEF1 and COL16A1 antisense RNA 1, transcript variant 4 (PEF1-AS1)
Source: RNAcentral
GAUUGAUGGAGCUUCCGGAAGUCUUGGCGGCUGUACCAGCGCUAAUGUUCCUCCUUUUCCUGAGGUGGAGUGGGCCGAAGAGGUGGUCAGGUUGGGAAAUUUAGUGAGAAGCCUGGGUGGGGUGUUGCUGCGGUAGCCAUGUUAUAACCUGGCAAAUGGGACGCAUGAUAGUGACGUAAUUGCUGGAGUAGCUCCUGAGUUUCCGCAGAUGAGCCGCGGGAAAGGAGACGAGGGGCGGUGGCCAGGCGGUUGCCCUGACAACGGGGAACCGACCGACUCUUCCCGGUAGGGAGAGGCGAUGGCGGAAUUACUCCUCUAAUGUCAAGGUAUUCUAAUCACAGAAUUACUGGAGCAUCAAGAAGUGCCUGCAUGCUUGGAAGGGCUUCCAGGCAGAUGAACACACCUCAGCACCGGGUGGCAUUUUCCCAGGGUGCAACCCGGACCGGCUCUGGGUCACACUGACAAGUGCACCCCUCCUGAGCUGAAGUGUUCCUGUUCUCUCUGCAGCCUCUCCGACUCCCCAGGCUGGGUUGGGUGCUCCUCCCUCUCAUCCCACAGCGCUAUGUCUCAUGUCUUCUGGAAAACUUGCCAAUCCCUAGUGUAAGUGUGACUGGUCUAUUGUGAGCACCUAUUGUUCAGGGACCUCUGUUUACCUGAGGCCAGGACAAGGGCCUGGAAUGUGAGCAGGAGCAAGGGAGUGCUCGGGAAAUGGAAACAAUGAAUGAAUCAAUCAGUCAAUCAUCUCCUGGGGUGGAAGUGUCCAGCACAGAGACUGCCACACUGCAAGACGAAGGGGCUGGACACACGGAAGAGAGAGGCGGAACCCUGCACCCCCUCAACCUCAGCCCUACUGAGUCUCCAAUGGGGCCACGCUUCUGAGUGCACCUCCCCGUGUCAUCUGUAAUGUGAGGGGGAACCAGGCUUGAUAUGGCAUUCCCAAUCCAGGGCCUCUGGACCCCUUGAGAUGCAUAAAAAUAGUGAUGGGGGCCUGAGAGUUCUUUUUUUUUUUUUUUUUUUUUGGUCAUGAACUAUUUUUAACAUUUCCGAAAGCCUCCUGGAAAUUAUUAUGCAGCCAGCCACAACAGGGCUGCAACAAAAUGCCAGUAUCUUCGCUUUUCUCUGGAGUCCCAUCAGCUCAGUGCCGUCACACUGAUCAAAGGCACUGCCUGGCAGUCAUCUAUGUUAGUGAUGAGUAAAGUAGACAGGAAAUUCA